Molecule: ribosomal RNA, 277 nt
Filed under: Bigelowiella natans
Lineage: Eukaryota; Cercozoa; Chlorarachniophyceae
Description: partial Bacterial large subunit ribosomal RNA
Rfam family: Bacterial large subunit ribosomal RNA
Source: RNAcentral
UGGGUAGUUUGACUGGGGCGGUCUCCUCCCAAAGCGUAACGGAGGAGCACAAAGGUGGGCUAAGCAUGGUCGGACAUCAUGCGGUUAGUGUAAUGGCACAAGCCCGCUUAACUGCGAGACAGACACGUCGAGCAGGUACGAAAGUAGGUCAUAGUGAUCCGGUGGUUCUGUAUGGAAGGGCCAUCGCUCAACGGAUAAAAGGUACUCCGGGGAUAACAGGCUGAUACCGCCCAAGAGUUCACAUCGACGGCGGUGUUUGGCACCUCGAUGUCGGCUC